CCUACGGGUGGCAGCAGUCGGGAAUAUUGCGCAAUGGAGGAAACUCUGACGCAGUGACGCCGCGUGCAGGAAGAAGGUUUUAGGAUUUGAAACUGCUUUAGACAGGGAAGCAAAAAGACCGUACCUUUAGGAUCAGCUCCGGCCAACUACGAGCCAGCAGCCGCAGUCAUACGUAGGGAGCAAGCGUUUACCGGAUUUACUGGGGGUAACGGGUGCGUAGACGGGAAAGUCAGUUAGUGGUGAAAAACCUAGGCUUAACUGAGGACCUGCAACUAAAACUAGUUCCCUUGAGUAAUGGAGAAGUAAGUGGAAUUCCUGGUGUAGCGGUGAAAUGCGUAGAUAUUAGGCGGAACACCAGUGGCGAAGGCGACUUUCUGGACAGUAACUGACGUUGAUGCACGAAAGUGUGGGUAGCGAACAGGAUUAGAUACCCCUGUAGUC
This 441-nucleotide ribosomal RNA is filed under the name uncultured bacterium. RNAcentral's name for it is "partial 16S ribosomal RNA". It matches the Rfam family "Bacterial small subunit ribosomal RNA", at positions 338 to 795 of the family's 1533-position model. The record is from RNAcentral.